CCUACGGGAGGCAGCAGUGAGGAAUAUUGGUCAAUGGACGAGAGUCUGAACCAGCCAAGUAGCGUGAAGGAUGACUGCCCUAUGGGUUGUAAACUUCUUUUAUAUGGGAAUAAAAUGUUCCACGUGUGGGAUUUUGUAUGUACCAUAUGAAUAAGGAUCGGCUAACUCCGUGCCAGCAGCCGCGGUAAUACGGAGGAUCCGAGCGUUAUCCGGAUUUAUUGGGUUUAAAGGGAGCGUAGGGGGAUUGUUAAGUCAGUUGUGAAAGUUUGCGGCUCAACCGUAAAAUUGCAGUUGAAACUGGCAGUCUUGAGUACAGUAGAGGUGGGCGGAAUUCGUGGUGUAGCGGUGAAAUGCUUAGAUAUCACGAAGAACUCCGAUUGCGAAGGCAGUUCACUGGACUGCAACUGACACUGAGGCUCGAAAGUGUGGGUAUCAAACAGGAUUAGAUACCCCGUC
Molecule: ribosomal RNA, 456 nt
Filed under: uncultured bacterium
Lineage: Bacteria
Description: partial 16S ribosomal RNA
Rfam family: Bacterial small subunit ribosomal RNA
Source: RNAcentral